GUUCUGAGGACUUAUUUCAGGCCCUGCUCUGGGGGGAUAUUAAGGAUACAGCGUCACAUGGACACACGGUGUUUCCGUGAUAGGCAUAGUUCUGUGGGGUGUUCGAAGCACUUGCAUAUGCAGUUUUGUGUGCCCUGUGAGAACGCAGUGCUGGUAUUUGAAUCCUUGUUGAUAGACGCAUAAACUAGAGCUCGGAGCAAGGGCUGCUCCCAGCACUGGAGCCUGGGAUCUUCUGACUCCAGCUCCCACGCCUCUUUGCAUGACCCUGUCACGUCCCCUUUUAUGAUGGGGCACCCCCUUGGAAGGCGUCUGUGGAAGUGGAAGCUGCAGAAAGCCUGUGGGAGCUCCUGGCGGGAGCUGGUCUCGUGUUGCUGCUCUGAGCCACCAGCUCUGCUUUGCCUCAGGCUCACCAGUGGCCUGGGCAGCUCCUCUGUGCUCCGGUGCCCUGCAUACCUUGGUCUGGCUGCUGUGUCCCGGCCUCCUGGAGAAGGGGUGAAAAACAUGAACUUACAGGGCUUUGGGUUCCACGUGCAAGCACGGAACAUUAAGCAAAAUCCCAAUACACAGAGUCUGUCACAGACAGGGACGGAGCUGAAGACCAUCAACGACUUUCUCUUCCAGAGCCAGAUCGACAACAUCAACCUGUUCAAGGUAGAGGUUUCCACCUUUCCACAUUCCACAUCCAAUUUCCUUCCUGUCACCACCUGUGGGUAAAGUACUAUGUUAAGACUAUAGAAGAAAGAAAAAGCAAAACAGAUGUGUAAUUACUUAACCCUUAACGCAACACGCCUGUGAGACAAAAGUCAUCUUCUUUUAGAGUGAAGGCCACAGGGAUGAGGGAUGGGUGAGAAAGGGA
Molecule: long non-coding RNA, 856 nt
Filed under: Pan paniscus (pygmy chimpanzee)
Lineage: Eukaryota; Metazoa; Chordata; Mammalia; Primates; Hominidae
Description: lncRNA (ENSPPAG00000044650.1)
Source: RNAcentral